CCUACGGGUGGCAGCAGUGAGGAAUAUUGGUCAAUGGGCGCGAGCCUGAACCAGCCAAGUCGCGUGAGGGAAGACGGUCCUAUGGAUUGUAAACCUCUUUUGUCGGGGAGCAAAAGACGCCACGCGUGGCGUUCCGAGAGUACCCUAAGAAAAAGCAUCGGCUAACUCCGUGCCAGCAGCCGCGGUAAUACGGAGGAUGCGAGCGUUAUCCGGAUUUAUUGGGUUUAAAGGGUGCGCAGGCGGAAGAUCAAGUCAGCGGUAAAAUUGAGAGGCUCAACCUCUGCGAGCCGUUGAAACUGGUUGUCUUGAGUGAGUGAGAAGUAGGCGGAAUGCGUGGUGUAGCGGUGAAAUGCAUAGAUAUCACGCAGAACUCCGAUUGCGAAGGCAGCAUACCGGCGCUCAACUGACGCUCAUGCACGAAAGUGUGGGUAUCGAACAGGAUUAGAUACCCCAGUAGUC
Molecule: ribosomal RNA, 459 nt
Filed under: uncultured bacterium
Lineage: Bacteria
Description: partial 16S ribosomal RNA
Rfam family: Bacterial small subunit ribosomal RNA
Source: RNAcentral